UAAUACCCCAUAUGCCGAGAGGUGAAAUGAAUUUCGCCUGAGGAUGAGCUCGCGUCUGAUUAGCUAGUUGGUGUGGUAAAGGCUCACCAAGGCAUCGAUCAGUAGCUGGUCUGAGAGGAUGAUCAGCCACACUGGGACUGAGACACGGCCCAGACUCCUACGGGAGGCAGCAGUGGGGAAUUUUCCGCAAUGGGCGCAAGCCUGACGGAGCAACACCGCGUGAGGGAUGAAGGCUCCUGGACUGUAAACCUCUUUU
This 256-nucleotide ribosomal RNA is filed under the name uncultured cyanobacterium. RNAcentral's name for it is "partial 16S ribosomal RNA". It matches the Rfam family "Bacterial small subunit ribosomal RNA", at positions 164 to 437 of the family's 1533-position model. Lineage: Bacteria; Bacillati; Cyanobacteriota. The record is from RNAcentral.